AGCGAACGCUGGCGGUAGGCCUAACACAUGCAAGUCGAACGAACCCACCGGGAUUAGUGGCGGUCGGGGGAGGCACACGGGGGAACGGGCCUGUAGGCACGGAAUACUACAGUGUCACUUGGGCUAACAUCGAAUGAGUUCCGCGGGUGCCAGAUUCAUCGUCUUUAGGGCGGCACGGGUCUGUCUAGCCAGUUGGGUGAGGUAAUGGCUCACCAAGGCGACGAUCAGUAGCUGGUCUGAGAGGAUGAGCAGCCACAUUGGUACUGAGACACGGGCCAAAAUCCUACGGGAGGGAGCAGUGGGGAAUCUUGCGCAAUGGGCGAAAGUCUAACGCAGCCAUGCCGCGUAAAGGAUGAAGGUCUUAGGAGUGUAGAAUUCUUUCAACGGGGACGAUAAUGACGGUACCCGGAGAAGAAGCCCCGGCUAACUUCGUG
This 434-nucleotide ribosomal RNA is filed under the name uncultured bacterium. Its description in RNAcentral is "partial 16S ribosomal RNA". It matches the Rfam family "Bacterial small subunit ribosomal RNA", at positions 29 to 507 of the family's 1533-position model. The record is from RNAcentral.